RNAcentral lists this ribosomal RNA (497 nucleotides) under uncultured bacterium. RNAcentral's name for it is "partial 16S ribosomal RNA". It matches the Rfam family "Bacterial small subunit ribosomal RNA", at positions 28 to 507 of the family's 1533-position model. The record is from RNAcentral.
GACGAACGCUGGCGGCGUGCCUAAUACAUGCAAGUUGAGCGCUGAAGGUUGGUACUUGUACCCACUGGAUGAGCAGCGAACGGGUGAGUAACGCGUGGGGAAUCUGCCUUUGAGCGGGGGACAACAUUUGGAAACGAAUGCUAAUACCGCAUAAAAACUUUAAACACAAGUUUUAAGUUUGAAAGAUGCAAUUGCAUCACUCAAAGAUGAUCCCGCGUUGUAUUAGCUAGUUGGUGAGGUAAAGGCUCACCAAGGCGAUGAUACAUAGCCGACCUGAGAGGGUGAUCGGCCACAUUGGGACUGGGAAACGGCCCAAACUCCUACGGGAGGCAGCAGUAGGGAAUCUUCGGCAAGGGACGAAAGUCUGAACGAGCAACGCCGCGGGAGGGAAGAAGGGUCUCGGAUCGUAAAACUCUGUUGGUAGAGAAGAACGUUGGUGAGAGUGGAAAGCUCAUCAAGUGACGGUAACUACACAGAAAGGGACGGCUAACUACGUG